RNAcentral lists this transfer RNA (74 nucleotides) under Opitutales bacterium. Its description in RNAcentral is "tRNA-Ala". It matches the Rfam family "tRNA". From Rfam's summary of the family: Transfer RNA (tRNA) molecules are approximately 80 nucleotides in length. Their secondary structure includes four short double-helical elements and three loops (D, anti-codon, and T loops). The record is from RNAcentral. Lineage: Bacteria; Pseudomonadati; Verrucomicrobiota; Opitutia; Opitutales. RNAcentral also lists the same sequence under 1 other name.
GGGGUCGUAGCUCAGUUGGCUAGAGCGCCUGCUUUGCAAGCAGGAGGUCGUCGGUUCGAACCCGAUCGACUCCA